This 400-nucleotide unclassified non-coding RNA is filed under the name Hevea brasiliensis (rubber tree). The record is from RNAcentral. Lineage: Eukaryota; Viridiplantae; Streptophyta; Magnoliopsida; Malpighiales; Euphorbiaceae.
GAGCGCCAACAGCUAACAUGCUCCCAAAUUCACUAGGACUUCACUUCCUCCCAUACUUGAAGUUCUUGAAAGAAACUUAUCAUGCAAGAGCCACACGACGUCUUUCAGAUGAGUGUUUGAACAGCCGUCUGCUCUGAUGCAUUCAUAAUCCAAAUUUCAUCAAGAGCUUGUCAUGUCCUGGGUGAUUGCGCCGCCUCUGAUCCAGAUGCUGAAGAACUAUCACUAUCAGAAUCACUAGAGGAUGAGCCUGAAUCACUGCUGGAACUACUUGAGCUGCUACUUGCACUAUCCGCCGGUCUUCCACCUUCAAGGGUAGCAGGAGCUGUAUCUUUUUCACCAGUUCCAUUUUCUUUCAGUGCAUCAGCAACCAUUGAUGUAGGGUUCACAUUUCGAGCAGCCU